UGCAAGAUAGCUUAAAGGCAGAGCUGCCGACUGUUAAUCGGCACAGUGCAGGUUCGACUCCUGCUCUUGCAGCCU
RNAcentral lists this transfer RNA (75 nucleotides) under Chloroflexota bacterium. RNAcentral describes it as "tRNA-Asn". It matches the Rfam family "tRNA". From Rfam's summary of the family: Transfer RNA (tRNA) molecules are approximately 80 nucleotides in length. Their secondary structure includes four short double-helical elements and three loops (D, anti-codon, and T loops). The record is from RNAcentral. Lineage: Bacteria; Bacillati; Chloroflexota.